Molecule: ribosomal RNA, 497 nt
Filed under: uncultured bacterium
Lineage: Bacteria
Description: partial 16S ribosomal RNA
Rfam family: Bacterial small subunit ribosomal RNA
Source: RNAcentral
AGUGAACGCUGGCGGUGUGCCUAAUACAUGCAAGUCGAACGACCACACAGUAAGCGCUUGCCCUUAACGGUGGCGAGUGGCGGGCGGGUGACGCAUGCAUAAGAUUCCUCUAUUUCGUGGGGGACUACGUAGGGCAACUUAUGCUAAUACAGCAUAUGACCUACGGCAGAAAGCAGGAGUUCUUCGCACCUUUCGUGAUUCUAAGAGCCGGUUCCGGGUCGCAUUAGCUAGUUGGUAAGGUAACGGCUUACCAAGGCGACGAUGCGUAGCCGAGCUGAGAGGGUGAUCAGCCACACUGGAACUGAGACACGGUCCAGACUCCUACGGGAGGCAGCAGUGGGGAAUAUUCGACAAUGGGCGCAAGCCUGACGCAGCCACGCCGCGUGGGUGAUGAAGGCCUUCGGAUUGUAAAGCUCUGUUGUUAGGGAAGAACAGCAGUAUAUGAAAAUAUCGCUGUUUUGACGGUACCUAAAGAGUAAGCACCGGCUAACUACGUG